Molecule: ribosomal RNA, 2902 nt
Filed under: Escherichia coli
Lineage: Bacteria; Pseudomonadati; Pseudomonadota; Gammaproteobacteria; Enterobacterales; Enterobacteriaceae
Description: 23S ribosomal RNA
Rfam family: Bacterial large subunit ribosomal RNA
Source: RNAcentral
UUAAGCGACUAAGCGUACACGGUGGAUGCCCUGGCAGUCAGAGGCGAUGAAGGACGUGCUAAUCUGCGAUAAGCGUCGGUAAGGUGAUAUGAACCGUUAUAACCGGCGAUUUCCGAAUGGGGAAACCCAGUGUGAUUCGUCACACUAUCAUUAACUGAAUCCAUAGGUUAAUGAGGCGAACCGGGGGAACUGAAACAUCUAAGUACCCCGAGGAAAAGAAAUCAACCGAGAUUCCCCCAGUAGCGGCGAGCGAACGGGGAGCAGCCCAGAGCCUGAAUCAGUGUGUGUGUUAGUGGAAGCGUCUGGAAAGGCGCGCGAUACAGGGUGACAGCCCCGUACACAAAAAUGCACAUAUUGUGAGCUCGAUGAGUAGGGCGGGACACGUGGUAUCCUGUCUGAAUAUGGGGGGACCAUCCUCCAAGGCUAAAUACUCCUGACUGACCGAUAGUGAACCAGUACCGUGAGGGAAAGGCGAAAAGAACCCCGGCGAGGGGAGUGAAAAAGAACCUGAAACCGUGUACGUACAAGCAGUGGGAGCACGCUUAGGCGUGUGACUGCGUACCUUUUGUAUAAUGGGUCAGCGACUUAUAUUCUGUAGCAAGGUUAACCGAAUAGGGGAGCCGAAGGGAAACCGAGUCUUAACUGGGCGUUAAGUUGCAGGGUAUAGACCCGAAACCCGGUGAUCUAGCCAUGGGCAGGUUGAAGGUUGGGUAACACUAACUGGAGGACCGAACCGACUAAUGUUGAAAAAUUAGCGGAUGACUUGUGGCUGGGGGUGAAAGGCCAAUCAAACCGGGAGAUAGCUGGUUCUCCCCGAAAGCUAUUUAGGUAGCGCCUCGUGAACUCAUCUCCGGGGGUAGAGCACUGUUUCGGCAAGGGGGUCAUCCCGACUUACCAACCCGAUGCAAACUGCGAAUACCGGAGAAUGUUAUCACGGGAGACACACGGCGGGUGCUAACGUCCGUCGUGAAGAGGGAAACAACCCAGACCGCCAGCUAAGGUCCCAAAGUCAUGGUUAAGUGGGAAACGAUGUGGGAAGGCCCAGACAGCCAGGAUGUUGGCUUAGAAGCAGCCAUCAUUUAAAGAAAGCGUAAUAGCUCACUGGUCGAGUCGGCCUGCGCGGAAGAUGUAACGGGGCUAAACCAUGCACCGAAGCUGCGGCAGCGACGCUUAUGCGUUGUUGGGUAGGGGAGCGUUCUGUAAGCCUGCGAAGGUGUGCUGUGAGGCAUGCUGGAGGUAUCAGAAGUGCGAAUGCUGACAUAAGUAACGAUAAAGCGGGUGAAAAGCCCGCUCGCCGGAAGACCAAGGGUUCCUGUCCAACGUUAAUCGGGGCAGGGUGAGUCGACCCCUAAGGCGAGGCCGAAAGGCGUAGUCGAUGGGAAACAGGUUAAUAUUCCUGUACUUGGUGUUACUGCGAAGGGGGGACGGAGAAGGCUAUGUUGGCCGGGCGACGGUUGUCCCGGUUUAAGCGUGUAGGCUGGUUUUCCGGCAAAUCCGGAAAAUCAAGGCUGAGGCGUGAUGACGAGGCACUACGGUGCUGAAGCAACAAAUGCCCUGCUUCCGUGAAAGCCUCUAAGCAUCAGGUAACAUCAAAUCGUACCCCAAACCGACACAGGUGGUCAGGUAGAGAAUACCAAGGCGCUUGAGAGAACUCGGGUGAAGGAACUAGGCAAAAUGGUGCCGUAACUUCGGGAGAAGGCACGCUGAUAUGUAGGUGAAGUCCCUCGCGGAUGGAGCUGAAAUCAGUCGAAGAUACCAGCUGGCUGCAACUGUUUAUUAAAAACACAGCACUGUGCAAACACGAAAGUGGACGUAUACGGUGUGACGCCUGCCCGGUGCCGGAAGGUUAAUUGAUGGGGUUAGCCGCAAGGCGAAGCUCUUGAUCGAAGCCCCGGUAAACGGCGGCCGUAACUAUAACGGUCCUAAGGUAGCGAAAUUCCUUGUCGGGUAAGUUCCGACCUGCACGAAUGGCGUAAUGAUGGCCAGGCUGUCUCCACCCGAGACUCAGUGAAAUUGAACUCGCUGUGAAGAUGCAGUGUACCCGCGGCAAGACGGAAAGACCCCGUGAACCUUUACUAUAGCUUGACACUGAACAUUGAGCCUUGAUGUGUAGGAUAGGUGGGAGGCUUGGAAGUGUGGACGCCAGUCUGCAUGGAGCCGACCUUGAAAUACCACCCUUUAAUGUUUGAUGUUCUAACGUUGACCCGUAAUCCGGGUUGCGGACAGUGUCUGGUGGGUAGUUUGACUGGGGCGGUCUCCUCCUAAAGAGUAACGGAGGAGCACGAAGGUUGGCUAAUCCUGGUCGGACAUCAGGAGGUUAGUGCAAUGGCAUAAGCCAGCUUGACUGCGAGCGUGACGGCGCGAGCAGGUGCGAAAGCAGGUCAUAGUGAUCCGGUGGUUCUGAAUGGAAGGGCCAUCGCUCAACGGAUAAAAGGUACUCCGGGGAUAACAGGCUGAUACCGCCCAAGAGUUCAUAUCGACGGCGGUGUUUGGCACCUCGAUGUCGGCUCAUCACAUCCUGGGGCUGAAGUAGGUCCCAAGGGUAUGGCUGUUCGCCAUUUAAAGUGGUACGCGAGCUGGGUUUAGAACGUCGUGAGACAGUUCGGUCCCUAUCUGCCGUGGGCGCUGGAGAACUGAGGGGGGGCUGCUCCUAGUACGAGAGGACCGGAGUGGACGCAUCACUGGUGUUCGGGUUGUCAUGCCAAUGGCACUGCCCGGUAGCUAAAUGCGGAAGAGAUAAGUGCUGAAAGCAUCUAAGCACGAAACUUGCCCCGAGAUGAGUUCUCCCUGACCCUUUAAGGGUCCUGAAGGAACGUUGAAGACGACGACGUUGAUAGGCCGGGUGUGUAAGCGCAGCGAUGCGUUGAGCUAACCGGUACUAAUGAACCGUGAGGCUUAACCU